CUGCAGUCAAUUUAAGACAACUGUGCUUUUCCCUCGAGGGAUGAACCCUGUGUGCAAUGCCUGCAGACAACAGCCCUCCUUGGUAGUUUUCCUGUUGCCUCUUGUCUGUGUGGAUUGCCCUAAGGAAACUUGAAGACUGAG
RNAcentral lists this small nucleolar RNA (141 nucleotides) under Sorex araneus (European shrew). RNAcentral describes it as "Small nucleolar RNA SNORA70 (ENSSARG00000019111.1)". It matches the Rfam family "Small nucleolar RNA SNORA70". Rfam says of the family: snoRNA U70 seems to be exclusive to mammals and is a member of the H/ACA class of snoRNA which contain H (ANANNA) and ACA box motifs. H/ACA box snoRNAs are involved in the conversion of uridines to pseudouridines (5-ribosyluracil) a constituent of structural RNAs (transfer, ribosomal, small nuclear, and small nucleolar). Lineage: Eukaryota; Metazoa; Chordata; Mammalia; Eulipotyphla; Soricidae. The record is from RNAcentral.